UACGUAGGGGGCAAGCGUUAUCCGGAUUUACUGGGUGUAAAGGGAGCGUAGACGGCCAUUCAAGCCAGAUGUGAAAGCCCGGGGCCCAACCCCGGGACUGCUCUUGGAACUGCGUGGCUGGAGUGCAGGAGGGGCAGGCGGAAUUCCUGGUGUAGCGGUGAAAUGCGUAGAUAUCAGGAGGAACACCGGUGGCGAAGGCGGCCUGCUGGACUGCAACUGACGUUGAGGCCCGAAAGCGUGGGGAGCAAACAGG
RNAcentral lists this ribosomal RNA (253 nucleotides) under uncultured bacterium. RNAcentral's name for it is "partial 16S ribosomal RNA". It matches the Rfam family "Bacterial small subunit ribosomal RNA", at positions 524 to 776 of the family's 1533-position model. The record is from RNAcentral.